AUUCCUUACAAUACAUAUAGCUAGCUAGUCAUCAAAUGCCUUGCAAUGUGCCAUGUCAAAUUCCUCAUCAAAUCCAGACCAAACAAAAACUCUAACAAUCAUCAAGUUUUGUGGACAAAUUAAUCUUAAACCAACUUCUUACUUUUGUUCUUAAUGAGAAAUGUGAUCAUUCUAUCCUUACCCGAGUUACUUUGCAAUCCCAACCGUCAAUCAACUGACAGUCUUCACUUGUCUGUAAUUCUUCACGGCCCGCCGCUCCGCCAGCCGUACGAUGUGGCCGUGGUGGUUGCUGAGAUUGGAGUCUCCGGCGACUGAGAACCAUAACCCUGAUCCUAAUUAGGAACUUUGAUUGAAGCACUGGACUUCAAGUGAUGAUUUUUAUCUCCCCAUUUUGACCAUGGAGGUUCUCUAAUAUAACAGAGUUUGCCUGAGGGCGGUUUUUGUGGUUGUGGUGAUGGGAUUUUGAAGCUGUUUUCAUUUUGGAGCGGCUUGGGCUUUGGUGGGUUUUGGCUAUGGAGUCUAAGGAGCUCAAUUUGAAGAAGCACUCUGAAAAUGGUGGUGGUGGUGGUGAUGGGUUCAUUGACAGAAGCAAAGUGAGGAUCUUGUUGUGUGAUAACGACGAGUACAGUUCGGAAGAGGUUUUUGCCCUUCUUCUGAAAUGCUCUUACCAGGUCAUUUCAGUGAGGUCUCCAAGACAGGUGAUUGAAGCAUUGAAUGCUGAAGCACCUGAUAUAGAUAUCAUACUUUCCGAAGUUGACCUUCCCAUGAGAAAAGGCUUGAAAAUGUUGAAGUAUAUCACACAGGAUAGAGAGUUAAGGCGCAUUCCUGUAAUCAUGAUGUCAGCACAAGAUGAGGUCUCUACUGUUGUUAAGUGCUUGAAGCUUGGAGCAGCAGACUAUCUCGUAAAGCCUUUACGAACUAAUGAGCUUCUAAACUUGUGGACACACAUGUGGAGAAGAAGGCGCAUGUUUUCUACUGCUGCUGCUAUGGAGUUUCCAGUCAAUAAUGUAUCAGAAUUUCGGCCUGAUGUCCCAGGAAUACAUGACCACCAAGCUGGAAAAUCUUCAUCUGGCCCAAAAAAGAGUAAACUAAAGAUGGGAGAGUCAUCAUCAUUCUUUACAUAUGUUAAAUCAAGCACGCUUGGCUGCGCUGAAGACAAUGUUGUUGAACAAGUGAGGAUAAAAGAGAAACAUCAAGCAUUUGCUUACCAAGUUGUUGAUGAUCCCCAAGUACACGUAAGUCGAGAGGCACAGGAAAGCAAUUCAGAAGGAGAUGACUUGCAGAGCAGUAAUAGUAGUGUUCCAGAUUCCCUUUCAUUGGAGGGGUCUUGUACCCCACUUGGAUCAAUGUUACUUCGACAUGAAAAGAAUUUUGAGAAAGACCAAUCCUCACUGGUGCUUGUGCAUCCAAGAAAUGAACUUCAACAAGAUUUUUCUGGCUUACCUGCCCAAGCUGCCUAUCCGUAUUAUAUUCCAGGGGUUGUGAAUCAAGUUAUGAUGUCAUCAUCAACACAAGUGCAUCAAAAGAAUCCGCAUGACAUGCAAAAUCAUUCUACAACCGCUAUUAUGCCACAAUACAAUCAUCUUCCGCACUGCCCUCCAGAUGUAACUGGGAUGACUCCAUUCCCCUGCUACCAGUUUAGCAUAUGCUUACAACCUGGUCAAAUUCCUAAUACUCAUCCAUGGCCAUCACUUGGAAUUUCAUCUUCCACUGAAGUGAAAUUAAAUAAGGUUGACAGAAGAGAGGCAGCAUUGAUUAAAUUUAGGAAAAAAAGAAUGGAGCUUUGUUUUGAUAAAAAGAUCAGGUAUGUUAACCGAAAGCGACUUGCUGAAAGGAGACCUCGUGUGCGGGGACAAUUUGUGAGAAAGGUAAGUGGUGUAAAUCUGGAGCUUCAGUCAAGGGAGUACUCUCCAGAAGAUGGUUCUUCUGGAUGUUAAAGUCAUUCUUAUUGGACAUGAACUGGAAUUUUCUAAUUCCUAAGAUGUGAUAAUUACUUUGUAGUUGUAAAAGUUUUGUUUUGGAAGUUCCUGCAUGCAUCUUUAGAUGCUCCCUAUGUGGAUGCAUGAGAAUUUGGCCGCUCUGUCUAAUUGGAGUAUCCAAUGAGCAUCAUCAUACCGGUUGAAAAAUAUUGGUCAAGGGUUCAAGCUUCUCGUUCUAAUUUCAAUCAAAUAAAAAAUCAGAUCAUUGUCUUCAACUUGUUCAGGAUUGCAAAAGCCCGAAAGACAAAUGAUAUAGAGCUCGUCAAUCAACUAUUCCACCGCAAAUUCUGUUUGCUAGGAUUGGAAGCAUUCAUCGUUGGUUCAUCGCCAUGUUCAAAAUCCAAAUGGGAAAUAGAUUUUAUCGAUGCAGCCCUCCAGUCUCCAAAUUGCAAUAACCAUAGAUGUCCUUUAAUGGUGUUAGCAGUGUGCUAAAUUUGAAUUCAUAUGGUACUCCAGAACAAUCUUAAAAGUUGAACCCAAGUUGAAGCUGUGAUGCCUUUGCUACCCCCCACUAUUUUAUCCAUCCAUAAACAGAAAAAAAAAAAAAA
Molecule: non-coding RNA, 2527 nt
Organism: Prunus avium (sweet cherry)
Lineage: Eukaryota; Viridiplantae; Streptophyta; Magnoliopsida; Rosales; Rosaceae
Source: RefSeq, a predicted model, not a curated record